CAGGUCUUGACAUCCCGCUGCCCGGUGUAGAGAUACACCUUUCCCUUCGGGGACAGCGGUGACAGGUGGUGCAUGGUUGUCGUCAGCUCGUGUCGUGAGAUGUUGGGUUAAGUCCCGCAACGAGCGCAACCCUUGAUCUUAGUUGCCAGCAUUCAGUUGGGCACUCUAAGGUGACUGCCGGUGACAAACCGGAGGAAGGUGGGGAUGACGUCAAAUCAUCAUGCCCCUUAUGACCUGGGCUACACACGUGCUACAAUGGACGGUACAGAGGGUUGCCAACCCGCGAGGGGGAGCCAAUCCCAUAAAACCGUUCCCAGUUCGGAUUGCAGGCUGCAACUCGCCUGCAUGAAGCCGGAAUCGCUAGUAAUCGUGGAUCAGCAUGCCACGGUGAAUACGUUCCC
This 401-nucleotide ribosomal RNA is filed under the name uncultured soil bacterium. RNAcentral's name for it is "bacterial SSU rRNA". It matches the Rfam family "Bacterial small subunit ribosomal RNA", at positions 975 to 1375 of the family's 1533-position model. The record is from RNAcentral.